UCCAAUCAACACAAUGAAGAUCAGCAUUAUGAGCCUUUUCUACCUUGACAGCAGGAGAAGAACCAGCUCUUGCAUCCCAGAGUAUAAGGCAGGAAUCGUCUCCGACACUGCAAAACUCCUGCGCACUGGAAGGGCAAAACUGAACAUCUUCUACAGUAUCAUCGUGUCCUUGGAAAAUACCUCGAGCUUGAACAGUAGGGCCUUCUGCGGAAGGUUUCGAGUUACCUGCUCCAGAUCCAGGAGACUUUGUUUCUCCCUGGUCUGCUGCUGCCAAAGUAGACACAUGAUCAUGAAUGCUCCACAGAACAACCGAUUUGUCCUUCCCUCCAGAGAGCACAAAAGGCUCAGAAGGGCACAUUGCGAGCGCAAAUUCAGCAUUGUCUUGAUGUCCAGUCAAGAUCAAGUCUGGUCGAGAAUUAUUUACUCCCAAGGUAGCAUGGCGAUUAGGCUGAGACUCAACAUCCCAAAUAAGAACAUCAGGACUGUCAGUAUGUGUGGCCACUAUUUUGCUAUCCUGAGG
RNAcentral lists this unclassified non-coding RNA (520 nucleotides) under Hevea brasiliensis (rubber tree). Lineage: Eukaryota; Viridiplantae; Streptophyta; Magnoliopsida; Malpighiales; Euphorbiaceae. The record is from RNAcentral.